UAGUGGAGUACAGAGUGUUAUUUCUGGGAUUCAUUCUGGGGCUGAAUCUGCCUAUGGAUCAAGAAUCCCAUGUGGCUUUGUCCUCUGAGGAUUUGACUUCUUUCUAUUUUGACCACCCUAUCCCUCAUUUUACACAUGCCCUGUAGUGCUUCAUUUUCAUAUCCAUCCUUAGUUUGCCCUGGGAUUGUAGUUGUAGCUCCCCUACUGCUUGCUGGUGCCCUCUCACCUUAAGAGCCUUAAGAGUUUUGGAUGCAGAGAAGUGACAGCAAGGAAGUAAGUUUGAAAUUUGAGUCCCUGAAUGAAGAAUCUUAAGUUAUUUCUAAGGGACAGACCUAGUCUUGAGAUGAGAAUUUUAGAGCUGAUAGCACCUUCAAGACAGGCCACUUGAAAAUGUAGUGGUUUUCCAGGAGUGGGAAUAUUUCCAGAGAGUGUACUAGAGGAAUGAGCCAAACACUUCAGAACCUGGAGCACUCCACUGCAGGGCUCUAUGUCCGGUGAACACCCUUGAACCCAGAAACAAAUGCUAGCCCAAGAUAGCUAUGAUCUUGACCCUUCUUUCUAAUACAGAAAGUAGAGAAUUGUUCUAGUCUCCUUCUGACUUUCCUCUUAAAUGUUAAAUAAGGGGUAGAUCAGUGAGAUGGGGUGGGGUGGUUCUAAUUUAGAGCAUACUCUAAGAAAGGCUCAGUAUCUCAUGAUUCCUUUUUCUUUCCCUGAAAGUAGAGCCCAGAGGAAGAAUGGCUGUCAUACAAUCAAAAACAAGCUCCAGUCACUGCCUUUUCCAUACACUGUGCUUCUCUAGGAUGGAAAUCCAGAAGAUGAUCGAUCAUUUCUUGCAGCUCUAAAAACCAUGGCUCAGGUAAAUCAGUGUUUCCUCCUGCUGUCUUUAAAUAGUCACUUUUUUACAGGCUAUGUGCAUGUUUGCAUCCCUUAUUCCUGAAACUUCCUAACUGACCCCACUCAGAAAUGUGCUUCCUGGUUUGUUCCGUUCUUAUAAGUGAUGUCUUCCCUAAGUAUGUCUUUCUAAUCUAGCCUAUAUUCAUAUACUUAUGCAAAAAUUCAAUGAGCAUCUUUGACUGGGAGCAUUGAUACAAU
Molecule: long non-coding RNA, 1092 nt
Filed under: Camelus dromedarius (Arabian camel)
Lineage: Eukaryota; Metazoa; Chordata; Mammalia; Artiodactyla; Camelidae
Description: lncRNA (ENSCDRG00005002121.1)
Source: RNAcentral